GUCCACGCUGUAAACGAUGGGCACUAGGUGUUCGGGGUAUUGACCCCCUGAGUGCCGCAGCUAACGCAUUAAGUGCCCCGCCUGGGGACUACGGCCGCAAGGUUAAAACUCAAAGGAAUUGACGGGGGCCCGCACAAGCGGUGGAGCAUGUGGUUCAAUUCGACGCAACGCGAAGAACCUUACCUGGGCUAGACAACAUCGGACAGCCCCAGAAAUGGGGUCUUCCCGCAAGGGACCGGUGGUUCAGGUGCUGCAUGGCUGUCGU
This 265-nucleotide ribosomal RNA is filed under the name uncultured bacterium. Its description in RNAcentral is "partial 16S ribosomal RNA". It matches the Rfam family "Bacterial small subunit ribosomal RNA", at positions 793 to 1055 of the family's 1533-position model. The record is from RNAcentral.